Molecule: long non-coding RNA, 467 nt
Organism: Brassica oleracea var. oleracea
Lineage: Eukaryota; Viridiplantae; Streptophyta; Magnoliopsida; Brassicales; Brassicaceae
Exons: 2
Source: RefSeq, a predicted model, not a curated record
GGUAAUGGCAAUGUGACAAAUUGGGCUAUAAUGGCUACAAAGUCAUCAAGUUUAGUUUCUCUGGUUCUCUCUUUGAUUCUUCUGCAAUUAUUUGUCUCUCAAGUUUGUCUUACGGAAGCUAUACGAAUUCCACGAAGAAUUUCACCGUCUCGCCGUCCCACUCCCCCUUCCCGUCCCCCUCCCCCUCCCCCUCAUCAUUAUUAUACACCCCCUUCGAAAUCGCCCCGAGGAGGUGGCCCAUAAGAAGCGUGUAUAAUAUAUGUACUUGUGAUCAUUUACCUUGUAAACGUAAUUGGUCAGUUUGAUGAUUAUGUUUUAUAUUAUUUGAUCCAUUAGUCUUUGUUAGCUCUUCAUAAAAUAUAUGUAACAUUCAAAAUAAGGACAUAAUGUCAGAAACAAUGUUACAAAUGAGGGCAAUGAUAAAACUUUAAGAGAGUGUAAUGAAGAUGAUAAACAUUUCUCGUCAA